This is a long non-coding RNA of Cyprinodon variegatus (sheepshead minnow), 470 nucleotides long. RefSeq lists it as uncharacterized. The record is from RefSeq and is a predicted model, not a curated record. The transcript has 3 exons. Lineage: Eukaryota; Metazoa; Chordata; Actinopteri; Cyprinodontiformes; Cyprinodontidae.
GCCACAACGAUCUUCUGUGAUGUUGUUAUUGUUGUUAUGAAGGACUCUGCCUAAAGAUCUCCUGGAGGAGAUCAGUCUGAAUAUCACAAAAUUCAACAUCCAUGGUCUUGUCAUUAUUGGGGGCUUUGAGGCAUUCCUGGGAGGUCUGGAGUUGGUAGAAGCUAGAGAGAAGUACGAGGAACUGUGUAUUCCCCUUGUUGUUGUUCCAGCUACUGUCUCUAAUAACGUUCCUGGAUCGGACUUCAGCAUAGGCGCAGACACAGCCCUCAACACCAUAACCAUGACUUGUGACCGGAUCAAGCAGUCUGCUGCUGGCACCAAGAGGAGAGUGUUUAUUGUGGAAACCAUGGGGGGAUACUGUGGCUACCUGGCAACCAUGGCUGGGUUGGCAUCUGGAGCAGAUGCAGCCUACAUUUAUGAAGAACCAUUCAAUAUUCAUGACCUGGAGGUUUGCCCCAAUAACUAACAUC